AGCCCCUUUAGGACCACCAACGUGCCUGGUCCCCACGACUCGCGGCUGCCUCCUCUCGGGCCGGGGCAGGGAGGAGCCGCUACUGCCGGUUAUCUUCGGACACGUUGUGGGCCAGCCAGUUCACUCGGUUUCCAGCUCUCGCGGAGGGCUUCGUUAAACUUCACUCGGAAGUGCUUCGUUAAACUUCACUCGGAAGUGCUUCGUUAAACUUCACUCGGAAGUGCUUCAGCGCCUCCUCUGUUUUCCCCGGUGCCAGGGAGUCCUUGAGAUACCGGAUGUCUUUGGAGCAGCUGAGCUCAGGCAGGCCUGCUGCCUGCAUCAGGGCAAAGAGGUGGAGGAAGAGAAGCCCGUGGCGCCGCAGGAUGGUGUUAGGCCCUUUCACAGUAGCCCCGGAACCUUUCAAAUUUCUCAUAUUAUUAGUCUUCCCCUGCUCAAUCACAUGGACAAAGUCAUAGUGUGAAACUACAACUGUGUUUAUAAGGAGGAUGCCACUGGAAAUGAAUUCUGCUCAAAGAAUGAACUCUCUACACACAUCAUCUUUCUCUCACAGACAUCAUACCACCUCAAGCACUGCAGCCUCAAAAGGGGAAAUUCCUGAGUGAUUCUUCUUGAAGCUUAAAUUCUGUGGGAUUUUUAUGGUGGAAAACUUAGGAGAGGAACCAGACAGCCCAUCUAGGAGCUGAUACUCUUCUAGUGAAGACCACCCUUGCAGGAAAGCAUCUGUCCUCCCAGAAUCCGGAUGUUAGGUUUGAGAAUUUACUAAUGUGUGACUUCUCUGAAACAAUUUAUUUAGGAAAAAAGGUUGAAUAAAUAUAUACUCAAUAAAAGUAUUGCAAAAAUUAAAUAAA
This 848-nucleotide long non-coding RNA is filed under the name Homo sapiens (human). RNAcentral's name for it is "HSALNT0300071". The record is from RNAcentral. Lineage: Eukaryota; Metazoa; Chordata; Mammalia; Primates; Hominidae.